This 462-nucleotide ribosomal RNA is filed under the name uncultured bacterium. RNAcentral's name for it is "bacterial SSU rRNA". It matches the Rfam family "Bacterial small subunit ribosomal RNA", at positions 46 to 518 of the family's 1533-position model. The record is from RNAcentral.
GCCUAACACAUUUGCAAGUCGAGCGGAGAUAAGUGAAGCCUAGCGAUUCUUAUCUUAGCGGCGGAUGGGUGAGUAACACGUGGGUAACCUGCCCUGCACUGGGGAAUAACAGCUGGAAACGGCUGUUAAUGCCGCAUAUGCGCACGGAGCCGCAUGGCUUUGGGCGGAAAGAUUUAUCGGUGCAGGAUGGGCCCGCGCCGGAUUAACUAGUUGGCGGGGUAACGGCCCACCAAGGUGAUGAUCCGUAGCCGACCUGAGAGGGUGACCGGCCACAUUGGGACUGAGACACGGCCCAAACUCCUACGGGAGGCAGCAGUGGGGGAUAUUGCACAAUGGGGGAAACCCUGAUGCAGCGACGCCGCGUGAAGGAUGAAGUAUUUCGGUAUGUAAACUUCUAUCAGCGGGGAAGAAGAUGACGGUACCCGACUAAGAAGCCCCGGCUAACUACGUGCCAGCCGCCGC